Molecule: ribosomal RNA, 700 nt
Filed under: Kocuria sp.
Lineage: Bacteria; Bacillati; Actinomycetota; Actinomycetes; Micrococcales; Micrococcaceae
Description: bacterial SSU rRNA
Rfam family: Bacterial small subunit ribosomal RNA
Source: RNAcentral
GCACCAGCUUGCUGGUGUGGAUGAGUAGGCGAACGGGUGAGUAAUACGUGAGUAACCUGCCCUUGACUCUGGGAUAAGCCCGGGAAACUGGGUCUAAUACUGGAUGCUACAUGUCACCGCAUGGUGGUGUGUGGAAAGGGUUUACUGGUCUUGGAUGGGCUCACGGCCUAUCAGCUUGUUGGUGAGGUAAUGGCUCACCAAGGCGACGACGGGUAGCCGGCCUGAGAGGGUGACCGGCCACACUGGGACUGAGACACGGCCCAGACUCCUACGGGAGGCAGCAGUGGGGAAUAUUGCACAAUGGGCGAAAGCCUGAUGCAGCGACGCCGCGUGAGGGAUGACGGCCUUCGGGUUGUAAACCUCUUUCAGCAGGGAAGAAGCCACAAGUGACGGUACCUGCAGAAGAAGCGCCGGCUAACUACGUGCCAGCAGCCGCGGUAAUACGUAGGGCGCAAGCGUUGUCCGGAAUUAUUGGGCGUAAAGAGCUCGUAGGCGGUUUGUCGCGUCUGCUGUGAAAGCCCGGGGCUUAACCCCGGGUGUGCAGUGGGUACGGGCAGACUAGAGUGCAGUAGGGGAGACUGGAAUUCCUGGUGUAGCGGUGGAAUGCGCAGAUAUCAGGAGGAACACCGAUGGCGAAGGCAGGUCUCUGGGCUGUUACUGACGCUGAGGAGCGAAAGCAUGGGGAGCGAAACAGGAUUAG